Molecule: ribosomal RNA, 855 nt
Filed under: uncultured Alphaproteobacteria bacterium
Lineage: Bacteria; Pseudomonadati; Pseudomonadota; Alphaproteobacteria
Description: bacterial SSU rRNA
Rfam family: Bacterial small subunit ribosomal RNA
Source: RNAcentral
GCCCUUAGAGUUUGAUCAUGGCUCAGAACGAACGCUGGCGGCAGGCUUAACACAUGCAAGUCGAACGAAGCCUUCGGGCUUAGUGGCGGACGGGUGAGUAACGCGUGGGAACGUGCCCUUUGCUACGGGAUAGUCCUGGGAAACUGGGUUUAAUACCGUAUGGUGUCUACGGACUAAAGAUUUAUCGGCAAAGGAUCGGCCCGCGUUGGAUUAGGUAGUUGGUGGGGUAAAGGCCUACCAAGCCGACGAUCCAUAGCUGGUUUGAGAGGAUGAUCAGCCACACUGGGACUGAGACACGGCCCAGACUCCUACGGGAGGCAGCAGUGGGGAAUCUUAGACAAUGGGGGCAACCCUGAUCUAGCCAUGCCGCGUGAUCGAUGAAGGCCUUAGGGUUGUAAAGAUCUUUCGCUGGGGAAGAUAAUGACGGUACCCAGUAAAGAAGCCCCGGCUAACUCCGUGCCAGCAGCCGCGGUAAUACGGAGGGGGCUAGCGUUGUUCGGAAUUACUGGGCGUAAAGCGCGCGUAGGCGGAUUGGAAAGUUGGGGGUGAAAUCCCGGGGCUCAACCUCGGAACUGCCUCCAAAACUAUCAGUCUUGAGUUCGAGAGAGGUGAGUGGAAUUGCGAGUGUAGAGGUGAAAUUCGUAGAUAUUCGCAGGAACACCAGUGGCGAAGGCGGCUCACUGGCUCGAUACUGACGCUGAGGUGCGAAAGUGUGGGGAGCAAACAGGAUUAGAUACCCUGGUAGUCCACACCGUAAACGAUGAGUGCCAGACGUCGGCAAGCAUGCUUGUCGGUGUCACACCUAACGGAUUAAGCAUUCCGCCUGGGGAGUACGGUCGCAAGAUUAAAACUCAA